Chrysemys picta bellii (western painted turtle) is the source of this 4370-nucleotide non-coding RNA. The record is from RefSeq and is a predicted model, not a curated record. Lineage: Eukaryota; Metazoa; Chordata; Testudines; Emydidae.
CCAUGACAAGGGAUGUGGGCCAGGACCAGGAGGUGCCUGAGACCGUACAAGGAUUCCAAGACCUCUUUGGAGAAGCUCAAGAUCUGGCUACAGCAGCCAAACAGGUUGGGGGUGGACGUAGGAGACAAAGGAGCACGCAAGAGGGCCCGACUGCACCAAGGCCCAGUGUGGAAAUGCUGGCACAUCACUGAAUGGGACAGCAAAGGCAUCAGGAAUCACAAAUGAUUGAACACUUGACCAUCUCACCGGAAGGAAAUUGAAAUGACUCACAGAGGGUCAUGUAAAGGGACUCUGAUACAAUGUUUAGAUUCAAGGAGGAAAAAGCUGGUCAUUUUUUGGAAAGACAAAACCAAUUUAGGCAAGAGGACAGAAAACCAAUGAUGGAAUGUAUAUGGCAUGAUAGUGAAGUGACGCUGCCGGAUCAAGAGGUCCAUAGAAAAUUUCAAAGAGAAUACAUGGAGAAGCAAAGGCAGCUAGCACUAUUCUCCCAGCACCUGUUUGCAUUGUACAACCACCUCAGCAUGAUGCUAUGGUACAGAACUGCAGCCCAUACUGGACUGGCUCAUCCCUGUCUGCUCCCUCUGCUGUGGUCUCCUGGCACUCUGGUGGUGAACAGGACAAAGAACUGGAGUAUGCCGGACAUACAUUUUGUGGCCCUAUAGCCCUGUAAACCAAAUUUUUGUGUGCUUGGGUUAUUUUUCUCUGGUUACUUAUUGGAACUGGCCUGAAUGUUUGUGGUUUUAAAUAAAGUAAACUUGCAUAAUUUAUUUCAGUGUUCAGAAUCCAUAAAAUAUACUUUUAAUUUACCUUCAUUACAUCACAACUUCAUUAUGCCAUAAUAUUCUUUACCCAGACUCAAACUGAUAUGUGCAUACAUAAAAUGAAACCCACCAUCAACAAAGGAAACAAAGAUAUUUAAGGGUAGCACAUGUUAACCCUUCAGGCUUGAACAGGCAGAAUGAACAUUAUCACCACACCCUCUUUCCACUACCCUGGCAAAAUGUGUACAAAGCAUCUCUGAUUCAUUUGGUUCACGUGCCUAGUACCGCCAACAUUAACAAGUGUUAGAUUCCGGUAGUGCUGCUUGUCUGCCUGUACAUAAAUUGUUGCAAGUUCCUCAUUCCACAGACUCUUAAACACUUCACUGUUGCUUUCACAAAUGUUGUGCAGAAUGCAACAGGCAGAUACGAUGUCCACUGUUGCCGAUUGCACUAUUGCUGCACGUCAGCAAGCACCUCCACCUUGUUUAAAGCCUUCUAAAUGCACUCUCCACUACCACAGUCUCUGUCAAAUCAGCUAUUUAAUCACCAUUUCUCUGGGCUUUAAGUAUGGCUUCAUGGCCAAGGGGAGCAGUGGAUUUGCAGGUUCACAGAAUCACUGAAAGCCUAGAAAAGAGGAUGGUCCCCUUUCUCCUACCUCUAUCUGCUCUUCAGGAGUUCAAAGUUUUAAUAUUUUCUUGUAUCAUGCACUAAGCUUAUCCUAACUUCUGCAUGAGACCUGCAUGGAAAUGACUUUUCUGUCCCACAAAAUUUUUUGAGACUUCAAAAAUGUUCCUAUUGUGCAUCAGAAUAUACCUGAAAUUUGAAAAUUGCUUCCCUUGGAUAGGAAAGAGAAAGUGACUAUCGACUGGUGGUUAGGGCAUUUUUGGUAUACACAGGCAAUGUAGGGACACCACAUAUUGCCUCUCCUGCAAUACUUGGUGAGUUUUAUUUUCGGAGCUCCAGCAGAAAAAUUUCUGCUGAGCGAAGAAUGAGCUCUGACAUUUCAGCCUGACUUCCAUUUUAAGUUCAUGCCUUGGUUAUUGCUGAGCUUCCCAAAGAGUGAUGGGAUUUUGACCUCUUCUUCCACAAUUCUCUUGGAGUCCCAGAAUGCAUUUCCAAAUGUCCUGCAAGCCAGUGCUUCAGGACUUUGUGCCAGAAGGUGUGAGAUAGGCAUUCAGAGGGCAGUACAACUGAAACCCUUGAGGAGGGUGCUGUACAAGGAUCUGGGGUAGACCUAACAGGACUGCCCGGGGGUAGGGGUAGGGGGCAAGUGGGGCAAUUUGCCCCGGGCCCCGCAGGGGCCCCCAGGAGAAUAUAGUAUUGCAACUUUUUUUAUGGAAGGGGCCCCCUGAAUCCUCUGGGCGGCCCUGAGACCUAAACCCAAAACAGAAUGGCUAACAUGGACACUCUACACCAGUGGUUCUCAACCAGGGGUCUGGAACCCCCCUAGGGGGCCUCAAGCAGAUUUCAGGGGGUCCACCAAGCAGGGCCAGUGUUAGACUCACUGGUGCCCAGGACAGAGAGCGGAAGCCCUGCUGCAUGGGGCUGAAGCCAAAGCCUGAGCAACUUGCUUCAUGAGGGAUCCUGUGGCAUGGGGCUCCAGGCAAUUGCACUGCUUGCUACCCUCUAAUGCUGACCCUGGCUUUUAUAAACAGAAAACCAGUUUUUGUGGCACAGGUGGGCAGUGGAGUUUUUAUAGCAUGUUGGGGAGGGUGGGGGGCUCAAAAAGAAAAAAGUUGAGAACCCCUGCUCUACACUAUGAACUCCCAACAACCCCAUUCUGUAGUAUAGAUGCAACCAUGGCCUGUGUGUGCAUGCACAGCAGACCUAUAAAAUUAAAUUAAUGUCUCCUUUCAGGGCAGUGGUUGUUUAAAAAGGCUUUCAACUGCACUUGGAAAGGUAGAGUGGGAAACAGAGAAACCUGGAAAACCGUAGUCAGAGCUCCAAGAGUUAGAAUUAUUCAAACAAGUGGCUUUCUCCCCUCUCUACUAGUGCUCUAGAGUGACUCACUACUUUUGCUACUCCUUUUAUCCUUCUUCCUUGACCAAGGACCAGGCUUUUUCGGGGCUAAUUCUAAAUCAAGAUAGGUUCAGAGUCAUGUCCCCAUCUCAUGGGCAACAUAAGAGUCCUAGUUUAACAACAUAGAGAGUCCUAGCAUAUCCUUUUCAGUGUGGGGCAAAAAAGUCUGACAGGUCUCAAGGCAUGCUGUGUAGCUAGAAGACUAAAUUUCAUAAUAUAUUAUCUGAGUGACUGUUUUCAUCCAUUAGACUCAGCUUUUACCACUUUCACUAAAGUCAUGCAUUCCAGUCACAAAGCCUAGCAAACUAGUAAGAGACUGAGUAGAGAUUCUAAUCUGGGCAAGAGAGAAUACCCAGUCACAGCAAACUCCAUCACAUCCCAGCUGGUGGCCAAUGGCAAGACUUCUAAUUGAGGCAGAGCCUUCAGCUGUGCAGUUAAAAUGGUGAUUGGAAGGCUCUGAAUGUGGACAUGAACCUGAUGGCUCCUUUUACCAAUCAAGAGCUUGACCUAGCUAUAGCUCAACUGCAUCCUGACAAGGCUCCUGGUCUAGAUUACAUCCAAAUGUUUCUUUCUCACUUUGGGCCAAUUUCCAAAAGCUGGCUAUUUUGACUUUUGAAUCAUUGGACCCAGCUGCAGAGCAAAAGCUGUAGCUGUACCCAAGCCAGGGGAGCCAUUGACAGACCCAGAGAGCUGCUGACUGAAUUCUCUGCUGUGUGUUAUUUACAAGCUGUUGGAGAGACUAAUCCUGAUGUGAAUUAGUGAGGUAGUCGAGGUACCCUCAACUGCCUCACAUUCAGAAUGGAGUCAAGAUGCACCCAAGAGCAGAUAUUCUGAGACACAGAAAACACAUUUGAGUCAGGAAAGAAAGUUGGCAUAGUCCUUAUGAAUCUGACAGCAGGCUACAACACCAUGUGGCACACUGGGCCGACUGCCAAGCUACUGUGAAUUAUUCCUUGUAGGCCGAUGGUGCAGUUCAUUCAAGAAAUGAUCAAUAACCAAAGCUUCAUCCUGCAAGUUGGGGAGAAAAUCAUUCACCCUACAUGUCAACACAAUGGCCUCCUAAAGAGGGUCAGUAUUGGCUUCUCUUUUGUUCACUGUAUACGCAUAUGACCUUCCUGAAACACAGGCCAAGAAGUACGUGUAUGCUGACUACAUCUGUAUUGCAGGCCCCAGAAAUGACUUCCACGGGGUUGAAGAGAAGCUCAGCCAACACAUGGCUAUUUUGACCACGUAUUCCAGUAGGGGAGAUGAAUUCUCAAUGAAACCAGGGCAACGGCAACCACUUUCCAUUUAAACAGUUGUCUUGCCAAUCAGUUCUUCUCAAUCUGUGUCCCAGGAUGGCUUCUGAAAUUCUAGCUAGUUAUCAAUACUUGGGAGUAAAACUCAACCGUAGCUGGACAUACUGGCCGCACCUGAGACUCCUGAAAAUGAAGAUCUCUUCCCAUACUGCCUUGAUACGAAAACUGUCGGGAGCCUCCUGGGGAGAAGACUCUUUGGUCCCUGCUGUUUGGUGUAGCUGAAUAGUGCUCCAUGUUCUGGGGGAGCAGUUGCCACAUUCAGCUUGUUGACAUGAAGAAUUUGUCAUUCAUA